GGUUCUGUGCUGUAAAGGUAGCAGACGUCGUUGUGGUGCUGUAACACCGUAAAACGAUUCCGACGCAGUCUGGGUUCGAUUCCCAGCAGAGCCA
RNAcentral lists this transfer RNA (94 nucleotides) under Macrophomina phaseolina. RNAcentral describes it as "tRNA-His". It matches the Rfam family "tRNA". From Rfam's summary of the family: Transfer RNA (tRNA) molecules are approximately 80 nucleotides in length. Lineage: Eukaryota; Fungi; Ascomycota; Dothideomycetes; Botryosphaeriales; Botryosphaeriaceae. RNAcentral also lists the same sequence under 1 other name. The record is from RNAcentral.